AACGAACGCUGGCGGCAGGCUUAACACAUGCAAGUCGAACGCCCCGCAAGGGGAGUGGCAGACGGGUGAGUAACGCGUGGGAAUCUACCCAGCUCUACGGAAUAACUCAGGGAAACUUGUGCUAAUACCGUAUACGUCCGAGAGGAGAAAGAUUUAUCGGAGUUGGAUGAGCCCGCGUUGGAUUAACUAGUUGGUAGGGUAAUGGCCUACCAAGGCGACGAUCCAUAGCUGGUCUGAGAGGAUGAUCAGCCACACUGGGACUGAGACACGGCCCAGACUCCUACGGGAGGCAGCAGUGGGGAAUAUUGGACAAUGGGCGAAAGCCUGAUCCAGCCAUGCCGCGUGAGUGAUGAAGGCCCUAGGGUUGUAAAGCUCUUUCACCGGUGAAGAUAAUGACGGUAACCGGAGAAGAAGCCCCGGCUAACUACGUGCCAGCCGCCGCCGUAA
This 447-nucleotide ribosomal RNA is filed under the name uncultured bacterium. Its description in RNAcentral is "partial 16S ribosomal RNA". It matches the Rfam family "Bacterial small subunit ribosomal RNA", at positions 29 to 523 of the family's 1533-position model. The record is from RNAcentral.